CACUCAGCCGAGUUUUCAGCUGGUCCACCUCUUUGCUCAGGUGUUCCAACUCCACUCGGCACACCUUGGAGCUCCAACUAGGGAAAGAGUGGAACAUGUAUUGAGAAUUCUUACAAACUCUCUUGGGUGUAACUUUUGACCCACCUCUCCUUCGAAAAGGUACAACUGCAGAAACGACCAAGGUUCAGUGCAACAAUUCGGAGUUCGACGAAAAAGGCUCUGGAAAGAAAAUAUGCCUGUAAACUUAAGUUCAAACCAUUGUCAUGCAUGACAUCCAAAAUGUCAUUUCAUGUGGCUCACCAAAGCAAAAUGGCCCUCGAAACGGAAACCAUAACUAUGAAGUGGCCACUGAUGAAAUCAAUUUGAACACCUCUGAUCGAAAGAAUAACUCCACAAGUGUGUUUUGCUUUUUUCCUUCACUUUUUUGGUGUGAUGCCAUCAUAGAAUUGUAUCAGUAAUGGAGAAAGAGGAACUUUUAAUAAUUGUGACAUGUUCAAUGGCUGAGACUGGAUGGAGGCCAAGUCCGCCCACUGCACGCCGGGACCGACUGGAAGAAGCUGCCGUGCACCAGGUGAUGGAGAGCAAAUGGGAUGGCUGUCAAAAUCUGAAAUGGGAAUCUUCUCCCUGCAAGGGAAGAACUCUGAAGAGGAGGAGACGUAUUGUUGAAAGCUCACCACCAAUCAUGACUGCACUCUGCUAUGCAGGGAUUUCCCCCCCUUAUCUUUUUACGCAUAUACAGGAACUUUCACCCACCUUCUUCCCUUUUGCUUGAGUUCCCCAGUAAGGACAGUCGCCCCUGGGGACACAGAACAUGUCAAUAUUAAAAAGGGGAUUUCAGGGAUUUGACAUCCUCUCCAAGGUCAAAUUCAUGCAAUUUUAGGUGCGUGACUUAUUUAGACUAAAUUGUCAAUUCAUUCAUCCACCAAUCCAUCCUCUAUACUGCUUAUCCUCACUAGCGUCGCGGGUGUGCUGAAGCCUAUCCCAGCUGACUUUGGGCGAGAGGCGGGGUACACCCUGAACUGAUUGCCAGCCAAACACAGGGCACAUAUACACAAUCAUUCACACCUACAGAUAAUAUAGUCUUCAAUUAACCGAGCAAGUAUGUUUUGGAAUGUGUGAGGAAACUGGAGUAACCGGAGAAAACCCACACAGGCACGGGGACAACAUGUCACCGAUUUAGAAUCAUGCCUUUUUUUUGUUUUUUUUUAAGAAAUUGUAUUGUGCUACAAACAAUCAAAACAAUGUUUUAGAUUAUUACAAAUUGUGUUGUUGUGAUAAAGAUAAUAAUGAUGAUUAUUAGGAUAAAUAGAUCAGACGGACUAAAAGUACUUAUUCUGUCUGAAACUUCUUCUGCUUGGAUUAAUAAAUGUACAGUAAUUAGCAUACACAAUAAAAAAAUUUUUUUUUUUUAAAUAAU
Long non-coding RNA from Phyllopteryx taeniolatus (common seadragon), 1417 nucleotides. RefSeq lists it as uncharacterized. The transcript has 3 exons. The record is from RefSeq and is a predicted model, not a curated record. NCBI's taxonomy places the organism in Eukaryota, Metazoa, Chordata, Actinopteri, Syngnathiformes, Syngnathidae.